Molecule: long non-coding RNA, 1410 nt
Organism: Dreissena polymorpha
Lineage: Eukaryota; Metazoa; Mollusca; Bivalvia; Myida; Dreissenidae
Exons: 4
Source: RefSeq, a predicted model, not a curated record
CUUUCCGCGAAAAACCAAUGCCAGCAUGGCCAUAAAACACUACAUACAAAUCGAAAUCUAAAAAGCGCGGAACUUUCAUAUAUUUUCCGUCGGAGCAAUUAUUUUUCAACCCUGUAGAAAAAGCGGGCUCAAUUAAUCGCGCGGAACGUUAUUUAUCUACUCUGUACAAAUAGUAGUGUUUAAAAUCGCGCGGAGAUUGUAGAAUGCUAUUUUAAGAAGUCUAUUAAAGAGAGAAAAUCCAGUAAAUACCAGAUCCAAAAAGCGCGGAACACAAAUAUCGUCCGCGAAAAUUAAGCAUUGAAUUACUGUACAAAUCUCGGGUUGUUAGGUGUUAGAAUCCCUAGUUACCCGAAAAAUUUGAUUGGAUCCGAUACUUAGAAAUAACCAAUCAGAUACUUUGUAACAAAUGCAACACAAUCAGUGCGUUCAGUAAGUAUAACGUUUCAAGAUGGCGGAGCGAAUUGCAUGGUUAUUGUUUCUACUCGAUGGAUUCGCAGAUAAUUCGGAAAUAGAUCAGAUUGGGAUCAAUAACUGUAUUGCAUACGAUCAUUUACAUGUAUUACCAGGUGUGUGUUGCCAGUAAUGGUUGAAGAUAUGCCAAACAAAUUGUGCCUCUCUAUACAGACAGAUUUCAGGUCUCAAUUUCGACUUCAAAGGUCAACAUAUCACUGAUAUCAGGAAUUCUGUACAACUGUGGAACCAUGUAUGGUACGUGACCGCACAAUGUUGGUUGGCAAAAGGAUAUUGGAAUAAGCAAAGGGACUCAACAUUACACAGUCAUUUCAACAUGUAGAGUCUUGUCAGCAAUGAUGGAGCAGUACUUCAGAUUUCCAGAAUCUCGUCAUGAGCUGAAGAUCAUUGCCUAUGAAUUUCCUGAAUGAUGUAGAAUGAUUGGACUGUUGAUGGAACCCACAGUGCAUGUCCUGCUUCAACAUCUGAGCAUAGGUCCUUGUUUAUCAGCAGUUUAGUUCUUCAAGCAGUCUGUGACAGUUACUUGAAAUGUUUGGACAUAUGACCUGGAUGGCCAAGUUCUGUGCAUGAUGCCCAUUUAAAUAGGAACGGCCCAGUGGCGCAUUAAAUGGACAUUUUUCGAAUGUUCUCAAGGAUUCAGCUUACCGCCUGACAAGAAAUCUUGCUUUUUGUUCAGUAUCGAGGCCAUGGACAUUUGUAUCAUUUGCAAAAGAUACUGCGAUAUUUGUGCCUUUGUUCAUGCUUUAUAGUUGAUUAACAAUUGGAAGCCAUAACCUGUUUUUAAGAUGGUGUUAGUGGGACAAUGAAUUUUGUAAAGAUUUAAAGACUGGAAAAGAUAAUUAAAAGUCAAAAGAGUUCUGCUAUUGUUAAGCAUGCUUUAUUGAUUUGUAAUGUUAGAAAGAUAGCAUUAUUAACAGAAUAAAAUGUCCAUAAUUUGAA